CAGCAGCAGCCGCGGUAAUACGGAGGGCGCGAGCGUUACCCGGAUUUACUGGGCGUAAAGGGCGUGUAGGCGGCCUGGGGCGUCCCACGUGAAAGGCCACGGCUCAACCGUGGAGGAGCGUGGGAUACGCUCAGGCUAGAGGGUGGGAGAGGGUGGUGGAAUUCCCGGAGUAGCGGUGAAAUGCGCAGAUACCGGGAGGAACGCCGAUGGCGAAGGCAGCCACCUGGUCCACUUCUGACGCUGAGGCGCGAAAGCGUGGGGAGCAAAUCGGAUUAGAUACCCGAGUAGUCCCUGUCUCUUAUAC
RNAcentral lists this ribosomal RNA (304 nucleotides) under uncultured bacterium. RNAcentral describes it as "partial 16S ribosomal RNA". It matches the Rfam family "Bacterial small subunit ribosomal RNA", at positions 506 to 807 of the family's 1533-position model. The record is from RNAcentral.